This 253-nucleotide ribosomal RNA is filed under the name uncultured bacterium. RNAcentral describes it as "partial 16S ribosomal RNA". It matches the Rfam family "Bacterial small subunit ribosomal RNA", at positions 524 to 776 of the family's 1533-position model. The record is from RNAcentral.
CACGUAGGGCGCAAGCGUUGUCCGGAAUUAUUGGGCGUAAAGAGCUCGUAGGCGGUCUGUUGCGUCCGCUGUGAAAACUCGGGGCUUAACCCCGAGCCUGCAGUGGAUACGGGCAGACUAGAGGUAGGUAGGGGAGAAUGGAAUUCCCGGUGUAGCGGUGAAAUGCGCAGAUAUCGGGAGGAACACCAAUGGCGAAGGCAGCUCGCUGGGACGUGACCGACGCUGAGACGCGAAAGCGUGGGGAGCAAACAGG